Molecule: ribosomal RNA, 440 nt
Filed under: uncultured bacterium
Lineage: Bacteria
Description: partial 16S ribosomal RNA
Rfam family: Bacterial small subunit ribosomal RNA
Source: RNAcentral
CCUACGGGCGGCAGCAGUGGGGAAUAUUGCACAAUGGGGGAAACCCUGAUGCAGCGACGCCGCGUGAGCGAAGAAGUAUUUCGGUAUGUAAAGCUCUAUCAGCAGGGAAGAAAAUGACGGUACCUGAGUAAGAAGCUCCGGCUAAAUACGUGCCAGCAGCCGCGGUCAUACGUAUGGAGCAAGCGUUAUCCGGAUUUACUGGGCGUAAAGGGAGCGUAGGCGGCCUGCCAAGUCUGAUGUGAAAUACCGGGGCUCAACCCCGGGGCUGCAUUGGAAACUGGCAGGCUGGAGUGCCGGAGAGGCAGGCGGAAUUCCUAGUGUAGCGGUGAAAUGCGUAGAUAUUAGGAGGAAUACUCAUUGCGAAGGCGACCUGCUAGAACAUAACUGACGCUGAUGCGCGAAAGCGUGGGGAGCAAACAGGAUUAGAUACCCCUGUAGUC